Molecule: ribosomal RNA, 248 nt
Filed under: uncultured bacterium
Lineage: Bacteria
Description: partial 16S ribosomal RNA
Rfam family: Bacterial small subunit ribosomal RNA
Source: RNAcentral
GAUCAUGGCUCAGAUUGAACGCCGGCGGCAGGCUUAACACAUGCAAGUCGAACGGUAACAUAAAGAAGCUUGCUUCUUUGAUGACGAGUGGCGGACGGGUGAGUAAUGCUUGGGAAUCUAGCUUAUGGAGGGGGAUAACUACGGGAAACUGUAGCUAAUACCGCGUAGAAUCGGAAGAUGAAAGUGUGGGACCUUCGGGCCACAUGCCAUAGGAUGAGCCCCAAAGUGGGAUUAGGUAGUUGGUGAGG